GAUGGGCCCGCGUCCCAUUAGCUAGUUGGUGAGGUAACGGCCCACCAAGGCGACGAUGGGUAGCCGACCUGAGAGGGUGAUCGGCCACACUGGGACUGAGACACGGCCCAGACUCCUACGGGAGGCAGCAGUGGGGAAUAUUGCGCAAUGGGGGAAACCCUGACGCAGCGACGCCGCGUGAGCGAAGAAGGCCUUAGGGUCGUAAAGCUCUGUUUUAAGGGACGAAUGUCGCGGGUAAUAAUACGAUCUGCGAAUGACGGUACCUUAAGAGGAAGCCCCGGCUAACUACGUGCCAGCAGCCGCGGUAAGACGUAGGGGGCGAGCGUUGUCCGGAAUUACUGGGCGUAAAGAGCACGUAGGCGGGAUUUUAAGUCAGGUGUGAAAGACCGUGGCUCAACCACGGGGUUGCACUUGAAACUGGGAUUCUUGAGGGCAGGAGAGGAAAGUGGAAUUCCUGGUGUAGCGGUGAAAUGCGUAGAAAUCAGGAGGAACACCGGUGGCGAAGGCGACUUUCUGGACUGACCCUGACGCUGAGGUGCGAAAGCGUGGGUAGCAAACARGAUUAGAUACCCUGGUAGUCCACGCUGUAAACGAUGGAUUCUAAGUGUGGGAGGUAUCGACCCCUUCCGUGCCGCAGCUAACGCAAUWAGUAUCCCSCC
RNAcentral lists this ribosomal RNA (659 nucleotides) under uncultured Syntrophomonadaceae bacterium. RNAcentral's name for it is "bacterial SSU rRNA". It matches the Rfam family "Bacterial small subunit ribosomal RNA", at positions 224 to 873 of the family's 1533-position model. Lineage: Bacteria; Bacillati; Bacillota; Clostridia; Eubacteriales; Syntrophomonadaceae. The record is from RNAcentral.